This 107-nucleotide ribosomal RNA is filed under the name Providencia rettgeri. Its description in RNAcentral is "partial 23S ribosomal RNA". It matches the Rfam family "Bacterial large subunit ribosomal RNA", at positions 1 to 106 of the family's 2925-position model. Lineage: Bacteria; Pseudomonadati; Pseudomonadota; Gammaproteobacteria; Enterobacterales; Morganellaceae. The record is from RNAcentral.
GGUUAAGCGACUAAGCGUACACGGUGGAUGCCUAGGCAAUCAGAGGCGAUGAAGGACGUGCUAAUCUGCGAUAAGCGUCGGUAAGGUGAUAUGAACCGUGAUAACCG